Molecule: unclassified non-coding RNA, 434 nt
Filed under: Hevea brasiliensis (rubber tree)
Lineage: Eukaryota; Viridiplantae; Streptophyta; Magnoliopsida; Malpighiales; Euphorbiaceae
Source: RNAcentral
GACGGUGCCAUGUUUAGAGACUUGAAUUUGGUACUUCUUACCAGUCCUCUCAUCAACGACAGUGAGAGUGCCCUGUAAGUUCUCCGGCGGAGAGACAUGAGCGGAGACACACUGGGCCUCCAAAACUGCAGGAGAAAUCGAGGACGCCGCAGCAAGGUGAGCUGCGAGCACGGCCAACCGGCCACGAGCGGACACGGAGGAUAAGGAAGAAUCAGAUUCUGACAUUGGUAGCUGGUUGGUUGGAUUGGAAGCGAAACCGAUAGUCGAUUGAUUACUUAGCUGUGUAUUAUUAUCUAAUUAAACGAAAGAAAUGAAGAAGAAGAAAGAGAUAUUGCUUUCUCUUCUGGAAGUCUUGAUUGAUCUGAACGGCCAGAGGAUAACGAAGGCGGCGUCUGCGUGUGGGUCAUUUUCUACGGGAAAAAAAAUAAAAUAAU